This 72-nucleotide transfer RNA is filed under the name Urocitellus parryii (Arctic ground squirrel). Its description in RNAcentral is "Spermophilus parryii (Arctic ground squirrel) tRNA". It matches the Rfam family "tRNA". Rfam says of the family: Transfer RNA (tRNA) molecules are approximately 80 nucleotides in length. Their secondary structure includes four short double-helical elements and three loops (D, anti-codon, and T loops). Further hydrogen bonds mediate the characteristic L-shaped molecular structure. tRNAs have two regions of fundamental functional importance: the anti-codon, which is responsible for specific mRNA codon recognition, and the 3' end, to which the tRNAs corresponding amino acid is attached (by aminoacyl-tRNA synthetases). tRNAs cope with the degeneracy of the genetic code in two manners: having more than one tRNA (with a specific anti-codon) for a particular amino acid; and 'wobble' base-pairing, i.e. permitting non-standard base-pairing at the 3rd anti-codon position. Lineage: Eukaryota; Metazoa; Chordata; Mammalia; Rodentia; Sciuridae. RNAcentral also lists the same sequence under 2 other names. The record is from Rfam by way of RNAcentral.
UGGGUUGUGACUCAGUGGCAGAGUACAUGCCUUGCACGUAUGAGGCACUGGGUUUGAUCCUCAGCACCACAU